ACGGAGGAUGCGAGCGUUAUCCGGAUUUAUUGGGUUUAAAGGGAGCGCAGACGGGGGAUUAAGUCAGUUGUGAAAGUUUGCGGCUCAACCGUAAAAUUGCAGUUGAUACUGGUCCUCUUGAGUGCAGUUGAGGCAGGCGGAAUUCGUGGUGUAGCGGUGAAAUGCUUAGAUAUCACGAAGAACCCCGAUUGCGAAGGCAGCUUGCUAAACUGUAACUGACGUUCAUGCUCGAAAGUGUGGGUAUCAAACAG
RNAcentral lists this ribosomal RNA (251 nucleotides) under uncultured bacterium. RNAcentral describes it as "partial 16S ribosomal RNA". It matches the Rfam family "Bacterial small subunit ribosomal RNA", at positions 525 to 775 of the family's 1533-position model. The record is from RNAcentral.